CCUACGGGAUGCAGCAGUGGGGAAUAUUGGGCAAUGGGCGCAAGCCUGACCCAGCAACGCCGCGUGAAGGAAGAAGGCUUUCGGGUUGUAAACUUCUUUUAAGAGGGAAGAGCAGAAGACGGUACCUCUUGAAUAAGCCACGGCUAACUACGUGCCAGCAGCCGCGGUAAUACGUAGGUGGCAAGCGUUGUCCGGAUUUACUGGGUGUAAAGGGCGUGCAGCUGGGAAGACAAGUCAGAUGUGAAAGCCCGCGGCUCAACCGUGGAACUGCAUUUGAAACUGGUUUUCUUGAGUACCGGAGAGGUCAUCGGAAUUCCUUGUGUAGCGGUGAAAUGCGUAGAUAUAAGGAAGAACACCAGUGGCGAAGGCGGAUGACUGGACGGCAACUGACGGUGAGGCGCGAAAGCGUGGGGAGCAAACAGGAUUAGAUACCCGAGUAGUC
RNAcentral lists this ribosomal RNA (442 nucleotides) under uncultured bacterium. Its description in RNAcentral is "partial 16S ribosomal RNA". It matches the Rfam family "Bacterial small subunit ribosomal RNA", at positions 338 to 795 of the family's 1533-position model. The record is from RNAcentral.